GGGGACCCGCAAGCAGCGGAGCAUGUGGUUUAAUUCGAAGCAACGCGAAGAACCUUACCAGGACUUGACAUCCCUCUGACCGGCUCUUAACCGGGCCUUUCCUUCGGGACAGAGGUGACAGGUGGUGCAUGGUUGUCGUCAGCUCGUGUCGUGAGAUGUUGGGUUAAGUCCCGCAACGAGCGCAACCCUUGCCAUUAGUUGCCAUCAUUCAGUUGGGCACUCUAGUGGGACUGCCGGGGACAACUCGGAGGAAGGUGGGGAUGACGUCAAAUCAUCAUGCCCCUUAUGUUCUGGGCUACACACGUGCUACAAUGGCCGGUACAGAAAGCAGCAAUGCCGCGAGGCGGAGCGAAUCUCGAAAACCGGUCCCAGUUCGGACUGCAGGCUGCAACCCGCCUGCACGAAGCCGGAGUUGCUAGUAAUCGCGGAUCAGAAUGCCGCGGUGAAUGCGUUCCCGGGUCUUGUACACACC
RNAcentral lists this ribosomal RNA (472 nucleotides) under uncultured bacterium. RNAcentral's name for it is "bacterial SSU rRNA". It matches the Rfam family "Bacterial small subunit ribosomal RNA", at positions 915 to 1391 of the family's 1533-position model. The record is from RNAcentral.